Molecule: ribosomal RNA, 253 nt
Filed under: uncultured bacterium
Lineage: Bacteria
Description: partial 16S ribosomal RNA
Rfam family: Bacterial small subunit ribosomal RNA
Source: RNAcentral
UACGGAGGGGGCUAGCGUUGUUCGGAAUUACUGGGCGUAAAGCGUACGUAGGCGGCUUUGUAAGUUAGAGGUGAAAGCCCGGGGCUCAACUCCGGAAUUGCCUUUAAGACUGCAUCGCUUGAAUCAUGGAGAGGUGAGUGGAAUUCCGAGUGUAGAGGUGAAAUUCGUAGAUAUUCGCAAGAACACCAGUGGCGAAGGCGGCUCACUGGCCCGAUACUGACGCUGAGGCACGAAAGCGUGGGGAGCAAACAGG